This 253-nucleotide ribosomal RNA is filed under the name uncultured bacterium. RNAcentral describes it as "partial 16S ribosomal RNA". It matches the Rfam family "Bacterial small subunit ribosomal RNA", at positions 524 to 776 of the family's 1533-position model. The record is from RNAcentral.
UACGAGGGGUGCAAGCGUUGCUCGGAAUUAUUGGGCGUAAAGGGUGCGUAGGUGGGCAGGUAAGUCAGUGGUGAAAUCUCUGGGCUUAACCCAGAAACUGCCGUUGAUACUAUCUGUCUUGAAUGUAGUGGAGGUGAGCGGAAUAUGUCAUGUAGCGGUGAAAUGCUUAGAUAUGACAUAGAACACCAAUUGCGAAGGCAGCUCGCUACACUACUAUUGACACUGAGGCACGAAAGCGUGGGGAUCAAACAGG